RNAcentral lists this ribosomal RNA (90 nucleotides) under Fukomys damarensis (Damara mole-rat). The record is from RNAcentral. Lineage: Eukaryota; Metazoa; Chordata; Mammalia; Rodentia; Bathyergidae.
UUCCAUUUCCAUACCACCUUGAAUGUGCCUCAUCUCACCGGAUCUCAGAAGCUAAGCAAGGUUGGGCCUGGUUACCACUUGGAUGGGAGA